Lycium ferocissimum is the source of this 208-nucleotide long non-coding RNA. RefSeq lists it as uncharacterized. The transcript has 2 exons. The record is from RefSeq and is a predicted model, not a curated record. NCBI's taxonomy places the organism in Eukaryota, Viridiplantae, Streptophyta, Magnoliopsida, Solanales, Solanaceae.
AAAACUUUGGAUAAUGGACCCACCCUCCACCCUUUUCCACUUAGAUAUCAGGCUUUUAUCUAUGGCAGGGCUUGAACGCAGAAGAUAACCAAAACUUCAACCAAGCACUAGCUUAAUUUCAAAAGUCAAACUCGAUCCAGAAAGUGACAAAAAGAAGCUAUACAGAAGAGAAUAAUCACAUUACUGCACUUCAAUAACCCCGCUGCAC